UAUUAUCCAGUGCUGUAAGGACGAGAUGCUUUCACCAGCAGCCGAGUGAGAUGAAAGCGCUUUUCCGAUCCACCGAAUCAGUCCCACUGCAACUGUAAGCUGGAGACCCUCUGGGCCUUGGGAGCUCAGGCUGCCUGGGCAACGCAAGGGAGGACAGGGGCGGAGGGGGAGCCAGGAGGGCCGCACCUGCCUCGCUCGCUGGUCGCCCUCGCUCUGGGAUCCGUCCUGCCGGUCCCAGGCUGUUGAGGGCGCCUCCUCAGAGUCCCUGUGGCCCCCGCAGCUUCCCCGGAAGAAACCCGUGCAUCCAUCGGCUAGCCCAAGCCCAAGCUCCUCCCGGAGCUCCCCGAGCCGGGGCCAGGCCUCCGCCCCUCGGUGCCCGCGCCUGGGCUCCUCCCGCUGCGGGCCGCCCGCCCGGACGCAAGGCACAGGGGGACGCCCCGCCGAGCCGCUGCCCACUGCACCGAGUUUUUCGGAGGCUGGGAGAGGAAAUGCCACUUGGAUUUUAAAACCGUCACCGAUACGCUAUAGCCCUGCUUUCUCUACCUCCAGUCGUUUUCUGAGGACCGGCUUGGUGGGUGCUGAUGCCUGCCUGGAAGACCUCACACCCACAGUGUCUUAGAAGAUUCUGAAAGCAGUGUGAGACCAGAAUGACCAGCAAAGGAGAAAAGAACAAGGACACAUUGCAGCCAAAAUGGAGCUAGAAUCUUGCCUCUGUCCAUCCUUCACUGGAGUUAUCCUGGAUGGAGAAGGAACCAUAUCACCUGCAAAGCCUGGAAGGGGAGCCCUGCUGUGAGGUCUUUCUCAGGUGAGGCCCCAGGCUGUGACCAGGCCCCUGCCCUGCAUGUGACUCAGGCCUAGCCCCUGCUGGGGCAGGAAUGCCACCCAGCACAGCAUCCUACUGGUGCCUGAAUAAAGAAUGGACUGGAGGUUCACCUGAAAGGGGCUGCCAGGUUUCUGCGGGGGCCAGCCAACGGCUCACAAUGACCCUGUGUUCGACUCAUCUUACGAUGAAAUUUUUCAGCUUGACGAACUUUUACUCAUCUUUCAAGGCUCGGCUCAAAUGUUAUUUCCCUGGGAAAACUGCGCUACUUUCAGCAAAAUGCAUUUCCUU
Molecule: long non-coding RNA, 1111 nt
Filed under: Homo sapiens (human)
Lineage: Eukaryota; Metazoa; Chordata; Mammalia; Primates; Hominidae
Description: HSALNT0296362
Source: RNAcentral